AACGAACGCUGGCGGCAGGCCUAACACAUGCAAGUCGAACGCCCUAGCAAUAGGGAGUGGCAGACGGGUGAGUAACGCGUGGGAAUGUGCCUUUCGGUUCGGAAUAACUCAGGGAAACUUGAGCUAAUACCGGAUACGCCCUUCGGGGGAAAGAUUUAUUGCCGAAAGAUCGGCCCGCGCCCGAUUAGCUAGUUGGUGAGGUAAAGGCUCACCAAGGCGACGAUCGGUAGCUGGUCUGAGAGGAUGAUCAGCCACACUGGGACUGAGACACGGCCCAGACUCCUACGGGAGGCAGCAGUGGGGAAUAUUGGACAAUGGGCGCAAGCCUGAUCCAGCCAUGCCGCGUGAGUGAUGAAGGCCCUAGGGUUGUAAAGCUCUUUCGCCAGGGACGAUAAUGACGGUACCUGGAUAAGAAGCCCCGGCUAACUUCGUGCCAGCCGCCGCGGUAA
Molecule: ribosomal RNA, 449 nt
Filed under: uncultured bacterium
Lineage: Bacteria
Description: partial 16S ribosomal RNA
Rfam family: Bacterial small subunit ribosomal RNA
Source: RNAcentral